UUAAUGAGCUAUUUAAGAAAGUGGAAUGUGAUAUUUGGGGAAAAUUGAAGGUAAUGUAUCUGUUUGAUAAAGAUUGUUACCAGUGAGAAAGAAGAAAUCCUUGGUAUGGCAUUGCUUGCCAGUACAUUUUUUUUUCCCUCUUCUUAGUGGGAAAAAUGUGGUUGGUAGUUGAUAAUGCUACUUUGCCUUUGGCUUGUGAUGGAAGAUUUUCCUUUUUGUAUUUCCAAGUGCAAAAAUAUAGAUAUGCCCUACCUCCCUGUCCAAAUUCGUGAGGCUCUGUUUUCCUCUCAUGCUUUCAAUGUUUAGUUUCUUUCAGUAGAAAAGAAGACUUUAUAUUUGAGCCAUGAAGAUGAUUAGCAAUUCAUAAAAAGUGGCUGAGACCAGAUGCUUCAGCGAGAGAUGUCAUAUUAAUGCAAUUCAGAGGAGCAUAUGGCAAGAGAAAAAUCGUUACGACAGUGACUGACCUAAAGAGCAAGUAGCAUUUUUAACCUU
This 492-nucleotide long non-coding RNA is filed under the name Bos taurus (domestic cattle). RNAcentral describes it as "long non-coding RNA NONBTAT023629". Lineage: Eukaryota; Metazoa; Chordata; Mammalia; Artiodactyla; Bovidae. The record is from RNAcentral.